UUGUGAAUUUUAUGGCCCCAGGGUCAGGGGUUCUGGUGUUAGGGCGGGGCUCUAUAUUGAUUAUAUAAUGAGAAUGCAUUAAAUCUUUGAAAAUCUUCUUCUCUGCUCUCAUUCAAGGGGAGAUAAUUGGGAAUUUAUGAAAAUUUGGUGGCAUAUUAUAAAAAUCUUCUUCUCAAGAACCACUCUGCCAGGAAAGAUGAAACUUAUGGGGAAAUAUCCUCAGGUAGUGAAGAUUCAAAUUUGUUCAAUGACAAAGCCAUAAUUCAUCAUAUUUAUAUGGAAGCAUGCUCAGGUAGUGUAGAUUCAAGUUAUUUCAAAUCAUGACCCCGGGGGUAGGGCGGGACCAAAAUGGCCGACCAAAGUUUUUAAAGAUAUAUCAUGUAUAUAUAUAGGAAAAUUCUUUAAAAAUCAUUUUCUAAAAAAUAGCAAAUCCAUUGUCAUGGGACUACUUUUGAAUUUAAACUUUACAAUAAAAAACUUUUUUCUACUUUUUCCUACCCUUAGUGCUCAGGUGAGCGAUGUGGCCCAUGGGCCUCUUGUCUUUUUUUAGCUCACCUGAGCCGUAGGCUCAAGUAAGCUUUUCUGAUCACAUUGUGUCCGUCGUCCGUCUGUAAACUUUUCACAUUUUAGACUUCUUCUCAAGAACCACUUGGCCAAUUUUGACCAAACUUGGUACAAAGCAUCCUUGGGUAAAGGGGAAUUCAAAUUAUUAGAAUGAAGGGACAUAUCCCCUCGCAAGGGGAGAUAAUCAAGAAAAGACAAAAAUAGGGUGGGUUCAUUAAAUAAUCUUUUCUCAAGAACCACUGGGCAAGAAAAGCUGAAACUUAUGUGGAAGCAUCCUGGGUUAGUGUAGAUUCUAAAUUAUUAAAAUCAUGACCCCCGGGGGUAGGGCGGGGCAACAAUGGGGAAUCCAAGUUUCACAUAAAAAUAUAUCGAAAAAAUCUUUGAAAAUCUUCUUCUCAAGGACCAUUGAGCCAGAAAAGCUGAAACUUAUGUGCACAUGGAAGGAUCCUGGGGUAUUGUAGAUUUAAAAAUGUCUAAAUUUUGAUCAGUGGGGUAGGGUGGGGAUGCAUUAUGUAUUACAAGGGAGAAAUCUGGUAGAGAAUAGAAUGGUCAAAGCUUCUCAGGUUAGCGAUGUGGCCCGUGGGCCUCUUGUGCUUAAGGUAGAAUGCCACACCAACUUUUUAUUUUAUAGGUCUUUGAGUUAUCCUUUUAAAACAAGGGUUUCAGCAUUAAAAGGUCGAUAUUAGCUCUUAAUUAUUUUAUAUGAUUUUUUUUGUAUUUUUUCAAAGAAAAUGAAAAAAAUUAAUUAUAUCCAACUAAGAUGUUUUCGAGUUAAAAGUUUGCUGUAAAUGAAUGUAUCAUAUUAAUAUCUGAUAAAAUACGUAAAGAAAGGCUGGUUGGACUUUUUAAUUUUUUUCAUAAAAGAAAUUUAAAAAAUUAAAACACAUUAUUUGUGAAUAUUUUUUAAACCUAUGGUUAAAAUCACCAUAAUGCAAGUCACAACUGAGGACAACAUGUUUGUCAAUCAUAUUUUGAAAAGAAAUUGAAACGAAAUUGAGAAAUUUUAGAGAAAUUAUUUUUUUUUUAUAUUUGGACCUAGUUCGAUCAAAAUUAAACUGAUCCCGAUCAAAAUUAAUAAAAUGCUAAUUUACUGCCUCUUCAUGUAUUUACAAUGAAGAAAUCUAUUUUAUUGUCAGGUUCAUUAAUGUUUUAAUCCUUAUUACACUUAAUCAGACUAGUGUUCUUGGGGAAAUGUAAUUAUUUCCAAUAAAUAUACAAUUAUGGUUGGGAUCGGUUUAAUUUUGAUCGGGAUUGGCCAAAAUUAAAAAAAAUUAAUUUCUCUAAAAUUUGGCCAUUUCGUUUCAAUUUCUUUUAUAAAUAUGAUUAAUAAACAUGUUCUCCCCAGUUGUGACUGGUUUUAAGAAAAUUUUAACCACAAAUUUAAAAAAUAUUCACAAAUUCUGUUUUUUAUUUUUAUAAAUAUUUCUUUAUUUAAAAAUUUUUAAUAUCUAUACGUCUUUUCUACACAUAUUUUAUUAGAUAUUAAUGUGAUGCAUUCAUUUACAGCGAAAAUUUUAUAAGAAAUCGUCUUAUUUUGAUGGAAAUAAUUUUUUUCAUCUUCUUUGAAAAAAUACAAAAAAAUUCAUAUAAAAUAAUUGAGUGCUAAUGUCGGCCUUUCAAAUCUGAAACAAUUGUUUAAAAAGAUUGACCCACAGAUCUAUAAAAUAAUAUUUUGGUGUGGCAUUCCUCCUUAAACCUGUGCUAAAUUUUGAUUUUGCAUAGGAAUAGUAAACUUUAUUAUUAUUAUUAUCAUUAUGCUUGUCGCUAUCAGUAGCAAAAAAUAUUGUUUUAAUCAGUAAAUAGAGCCAAUCGCAAAAUACCUAAAGGAUUACAUUGUUUGUGACGAGCUGACGCUUUGCUUGUCGAGAACUUUAAAUUCUACGUCACAUUCUCGCCACAUCAAAGGACUUAACCGAGAUCGCGUCACUCCCACGCUAAAGUCCGUCAGCUGCAACAUACAGCUUGUUUUCGGGGUUCAAAAAAUGGAGUAGACAGUCCCGAUGUCGUUUUCUUCAAUGUUACCUUCAAAGUUUAAUUUUUUUUUUUUAACCUUGAAUUAAAAAAAAAGUUUUUUUAAACCUUGAAUUUAAAAAUUUAAAGAUUUUUUUCAGUCCAUUACGAAUAUUUUAAUUGGUCGAUUAUUUUAUUCUAUUAUCGCAAAAUUUACUUUUUUUCAUAUUUGCGAACAAGUAUAAAAGUCGAGUAGUGCAUGAUUCAUUGAUCAUUAGAUUUAUAAGUUACGCGUAUCAACCCAAGUCAUGCAUGCUGAGAUUGUUGCAAUUUGGUACAAAAUAUACUGGUGAAAAAUUGAUACCCUCUUUAUGCGUAUAUUCGCGAGAAAAGAUAAAGAGGGAAGGCCUGGGAAGACGUGUCUAUUUACCUUCAAAUUUUAUCGAUUGAAUUUCAAUUUAUUUUUUAGUUUUAACGAAUGUUAUAUGUACAAGGUACACAUUAAUACCAAAACGACGGAAAAUACAUGUAUCUAAUUAUCAUGGGCGUCGGAAGCAAAUUAAGGUGGGGGCUAAGGGUAAGAUUUUUUUUUACACCUCCCAAAAUAACCUGAGAAGCAAAAGAAAAAAAACAACAACAACAGACACAAACAAAAACAAGGGAUGUGUAUUUUCCAAACACAAAACUCCUAUUUCGUGGGUAUACCUACGCAGCAAUGUUCAAUGUCUAUACUAAGUCUAACUUUGGAAAAGCCACCCCCCCUCCCCCCCCCCCCAACUCUAAAAUGUGAAAUGUCUCCCAAUCAACUAUGUUCCAGUUAACUUUUUGUUUUGUUUAUUUCAAGAGUUAUUUCCCGUAGUUUGGCAAGCGCCAUAUUUAACACGUGUAAUUGUGACUUUGUGACUUUGUAUCCCUACAGUUCUUUCACUGCACCAAUACUGAAUAAAGGAGAUGAAGCCUUCUCAAUAACUGUUCCAGUAUAGAAUGGUUUAUCGACUUACGAUGUCAUAAAAAUUUGGGUGCGAGUGUCCACCAGGAAAAUUUCGAUCAAAGUACAGUACUUUGUGACAGUGGGAAGAUAGAAUUUAAAUAAUGGACAUGGCACAAUAUUACUGCAUCAGAGAUCAAUCCAGGUUUACUUAUAAUUUGAAGAAAAACAGUCAAGUGGAGCUACAUAUGUCACUGCCUUAACA
Long non-coding RNA from Saccostrea cuccullata (small rock oyster), 3707 nucleotides. RefSeq lists it as uncharacterized. The transcript has 3 exons. NCBI's taxonomy places the organism in Eukaryota, Metazoa, Mollusca, Bivalvia, Ostreida, Ostreidae. The record is from RefSeq and is a predicted model, not a curated record.